Molecule: long non-coding RNA, 213 nt
Organism: Etheostoma cragini (Arkansas darter)
Lineage: Eukaryota; Metazoa; Chordata; Actinopteri; Perciformes; Percidae
Exons: 3
Source: RefSeq, a predicted model, not a curated record
ACUUGAAGCUAUCUAUACAUAAGAGUGACAUGACACGGCCAUGAACACAUGACAAUGCCAACCCUAACCAUAAGUUGUAAUGACAAAUCUGAAUAACACUAGAAGAAGCAUUUAUAACUUGUUUAUAAUGUUUAUGACACGUUCAUGACAGUCUCAUGUCACUCUUAUGUGUAUACCUUGAAGUAAAGUGUAACCGAAAAAUGUGCUUUCAGU